UUCGGUGCGAUUGAAUAGCCACGAAAAUGAAAAUAUCUCCCUCGUCAGCCCCUCUCACGUCCUCCUCGUUUCCUUCCACUCCCUCGCGACCCCCGCCGCCGCGCCAGGGCCUCGUCUCGCCCUCACCGGCCACCGGCGACCUCCAACCAUUGUUCUCCGCCUUGUCGCCAUAGCCACCUUGAGCUCGAGCAUAGGAGCGGCUCGGCAGGACGAUGGGGCAGCAGCCAGCCGCGCCUCGUCCGUGUCGCGUGGUGGCCCAGAUGCGGUCGCCCUGUGCUCUGCCUCCACGAGCGCGGCCUCGAUCCAGACUCGGCAGGAGGAGGGGAGCAGCAUCCGGCCAUGCUGUGUUGGCCGUGGAGGAGGAAGGAGCUCAUGUGGCUAGGGUUCGGCUACCCUCGUCAUCCAUCUCCUCGAUCUCUCUCUCUGUCUGGCCGUGGUCUGAAGGAGGAAGAGGGGACCCAGCGAAAUCGAGCGAUGCGGGCUGCAAUAUCCUAAAUAGGUGGCGGUCGAGACCACGGGAGCGGGAGCGACGGCCAUCUCCCCCCGCCCCACUCUCUUUACCUCUUCUAUGGAGAUGCUUUGCUGGGGACAUAUGAUUUCAUCCCAUUCUGUACUAUCCAUCAGGCCUCGGAUCCACGGCUUCUACAUCUUCCUCCUCCGGCCCCUGCCAUCCAAGAUAGAGACGGCUUGGAUGGCAAGGGCCAAGCAUCGGCAUGGUUGAUGGCUUCCAAGAUUAAAGUGGUCAAUUAUGAAUGACGAUGCAGCCUGCAAGUAAUCAUUUGUGUUAUUUGCCUGUCUUUUCCAGGUUCGUCAUAUCCAUAGCCUAUGUAUUUCAUCAUCCCAUGUGAUUCAAGCUGGGCCAUACAGUUGUAUGCUAGAUUGGUAUGUACUAUAUACAUCUGGAUGACCAUGAGGAUUAAAGAGUGUCGUUAAUUCCAAUGGAAAAAUGCCUAAAUCUCGCUGUCCACUAAUUCACGGCAAUGAAAUUCUCUAACUCGUUAAAAAUCGCUUUGAUGUUGUACCAGCUGAAGCUUUUUCGUCUUCUGAAUUGAACAGGCAGGAGUUUAGUUUGGUGUUCUCAAACAGGCCAUAGUUUGAUGUCCUAAAUCUAAUUUGGCCUUUCAAGUUAGAUAUUAUCCAUGUAUAAAUACAGAUUUCCUUGAAUAUAUAUUGUUUUGAUCAGCACAAAAUAGCUCUAGCCUCUAGUACAAUUUUAAGUGUCGUGCAUGGGUGGUUUUUGUGCAGUUAUGUUGAUCUGCAUGCAUUUUCUGCAUUAUAGUGUUGAUAUGUCUCAGUAAAAUAGUGAGUACAUAUAACUUAGGCAAGCUACAAUCAGUUAGUUUUGUUACUAAUCCAUUGAUCCUUUGUUAAAUUCCAAGAGUCAGGGUACCGACACCCAAAUAAAUUCAGGCCAGUCCUCGAUGUGAAGAAGCUAAGGGAGGCGGAUCCCGACCCUUAUGACAGCCAAAAUUAGGCCGCCACUCGUCUCUCUCCCGCACCUGCUCUUCAGAUGGCCAACAACACUUCGCGAGCAAUGACUGCUGUCCAGUUAAGAGCAAGAAAGAUCUUGUUGUUACUUGUCUUUUCAACAGUUCUUCUGUGUGGAAGGCUCUUUGCUCACACUCAAAUACUACCUCUGAAACAUGGAAGAAGGAAAAGGUUACUCUUCUGAUCUUGAGAAAAUAGUUUCAGAGAGGCUAGCAGAUGCAGAAGAAUCUCUAAAGAAGUUGAAGCAGGUUCUCUUCAAUUUGCUGUUGUGCUAGGCAUGAACAGAAUGGCUUCCUCUUCUUGCGAGCCACACUGAUGUUGGCUUCUGGUUUCUGCUAUAAUGUUUUUUUUACUAUGGACAGCGUUUCUUCAGGCUAUGUCUCUACUAUAGGUCUCCGCAUUUCGGGGGACCAAGUCCGACGACGGGAGAUUCUACAUAUAUUUUCUAAAAGACAUGUCGCUUGGUCGAAGCCUUGAUCAUGGUGAUAUGUGUUUAUUCGUCCGGUGACUCAGUAGAACAAUAACAUGUGUGCACGGUGAUGUUUCAGUUUCUACUAGAAGGUUUCAAAAUUGAAUGCAUGGAGGGUUUAAAUGAGUCUUGUACAAGACUGAGAAUAAAUUAUGCUUUCUGAGUUUCAAGCUACUGAAAGUAAUUAAAGAUUUGCCUUUGCUAUGUAAGAAUGGUUGUAUGUGUUAAUUAGUGGUGCACAUUUUUUGAGACCGUCUAAAAUUCUACUCCCUCUGUUCCUAAAUAUUUAUCUUUUUAGAGAUUUCAAAUGGACUGUUCCAUACGGAUGUAUAUAAACAUAUUUUAGAGUGUAGAUUCACUCAUUUUGCUUCGUAUGUAGUCACUUGUUGAAAUUUCUAGAAAGACAAAACGGAGGGAGUAUUAUAAAGUGCUUAUAUGAAAUUCAUAGGUA
Long non-coding RNA from Triticum aestivum (bread wheat), 2408 nucleotides. RefSeq lists it as uncharacterized. The transcript is spliced from 5 exons. The record is from RefSeq and is a predicted model, not a curated record. Lineage: Eukaryota; Viridiplantae; Streptophyta; Magnoliopsida; Poales; Poaceae.